This is a long non-coding RNA of Haliotis rubra (blacklip abalone), 225 nucleotides long. RefSeq lists it as uncharacterized. The transcript is spliced from 3 exons. Lineage: Eukaryota; Metazoa; Mollusca; Gastropoda; Lepetellida; Haliotidae. The record is from RefSeq and is a predicted model, not a curated record.
AAACAGUUCCCAGCAUGUGUAUCUACCUGGUCUGUUCAGGUGUGAAGGAAACACUUCCCAGCAUGUGUACCUACCUGGUCUGUUCAGGUGUGAGGGAAACACUUCCCAGUAUGUGUAUCUACCUGGUCUGUUCAGGUGUGAGGGAAACACUUCCCAGCAUGUGUAUCUACCUGGUCUGUUCAGGUGUGAGGGAAACACUUCCCAGCAUGUGUAUCUACCUGGUCU